AAACAAAAAUAAAUUGAAAACAUCUUCAACUUUCACGAUAAACCUCCAUCUUCUUUCUAUCUAUCGUGAAAGCUCCAUCUCGCCAAACUCCAUCACGUUUCAACCCAGCACCUCACAUCUCCAUCUUCGUCGAACCCUAGUUCCUUUGUUUCGACUCAAUAUCUCCAUCUCCGUUGAACCUCAAAUCUCGUGAUUUCUCUCCCGACCCAGAAAAAACCCACUGUUGAACCCUAAAUUCUUGCUCUGAAAACCUCUGUUUCCCUUACGCCCUUCUUUUAUCGAAUGUAUUUUAGGUUCUCACGAGAAAGGCCAAGAAUCAACAUCCCUGGAAAGGAUUUGGGGCAAUUCGCGUUGAUUUGCAGGAGCUCAAGCCCUUGUGAGCUUUGGAAAGGUUACUCCAGAACAAAAUCAAGAAGUUGAGAAGUUUGAGUUGAUAAUAUAUUCAUGGGAUGAGUUUUUAGAAGCGAUAUGGGUCUAUGGAAAUAAUUGAGUACUUCCUUGUGGCUGUUAUUGACCCAAACAAGCAAGCACUUGAAGCUUGGGCAGGAAAAAAUAAUAUGAAGAUUCUAGGACGAAAAGUUACAUUCUUGGAGAGCUCGUAAAGAUUGCGAAAGAAAAGAAGUUACAUUUGACAUGGAACGCGAUCUUAUAGCACCAACAUUUAAGAAGAAGAUACCCUAGUUGCUUAAACAUUACCAGGUAGCCCUUGUGAGCGUUACCUUAUGCCUUGCUGUUGAAGUUAUGCUUUUUUUCUUUUAGGCACGGUUAAAGCUAUUGAAACUAGAACUUUCUUUGUUUUCCUUUCAUUUCAUCUUUUAUUAUUUUUCGGUAUUAAUUUCAAAACUAAUCAUCAUUGUUGAUCAUUGGAGGGAGAGAAGAAUAGAAGAAAGGAUUUAUUGGGGCAUCACUCUUGCUGCAACCAGAAGGUUAAAAGGAUGAUAAAUUGGUCCAAAUCCAUAAAUAAUACCAAUCUUAUUUUAGAUUAUUUAUUUUAGUUGUUUAAGAGUCUAGUAACAUGCUAACUUGAUUAUCUAGUUUUAUUUGAAAUUUGGUGUAAGGGUUGUAAUCCACAAGGCACUGAGGUUCGGUAAUGUUGUGGUCUGUGAAUUCGAGAAUAAGUCCAAAUAGGUAUGAUUGUUUAUUUAUUUCUUUUAAUAGUUGUCAAUGAGAGGUAUUUAUCAAUCAAAUUAGCUCUUGGUCUGAUGAACAUAGGUGUAUGAGUUGUUUAGUUAUUUCUUUUAAUAGGUGUAUGUUGCUAGCUUACCUGAAUGCAGGUUAGUGACCUUAUAAACCGCCGCAGUGUAUAUAUUUACAACAGAUAUCUAUGUUUCUACCUUACCGCGGUGCGUUGUUGGUGUUGCUCGUACACCAAUAUGGGUAGAGUUUGGAGCUAAGUUUUGGAGACCGUUUAGCUGCAUAAUCAUGUUAUUCUCUGAUGGAUUAGUUUUUCUGCUAUUGUGUUACUGCCUUCCUGUGGUGUGGUGUUUUGUUUGAAGUUCUGGAGGUGUCUUGGUUCCUGUGGUUUUUCAGGGACUUGAAAACAUGAGAGGUACUGCUGACUUGGUUUGGAAAAUGGCAGAGGAGUGCUUAAGUUAAUUUUAGUUUGAUUGUUUUGGUGUUCUGAACUCACCUAGUUGCAGAAAAUGGUAUGCUGGGAGCUUAUUGUGCAGGUUGUUAUUAUUUGAUUAAGGUUGAGGCUCAUAGAACCUUUGUAUUAGUAUAUCUUAGCAUAAGUUAAUUUGUUUUGGUGGUGAGAGUUAUGUACUCAGUUAGCUUCUUGAGGUCAUAGGACCUUUGAAUUAGCAUAAGUUUGUUUUGUUGGUUAGAGAUGUAUUCAAAUAUUGUUUCAGACCAAAUCUAGUAUAUUUUUCAUGUUAUAUCGAAAAAGUACCUUUUAUUCUCUAUAAA
Molecule: long non-coding RNA, 1908 nt
Organism: Trifolium pratense (red clover)
Lineage: Eukaryota; Viridiplantae; Streptophyta; Magnoliopsida; Fabales; Fabaceae
Exons: 5
Source: RefSeq, a predicted model, not a curated record